GCAGCUUUAAAAUUCUCCUGAAAAUCAGCCUCCUUCCUUUCUUUUCUUUUAUUCUGCUCUUUUCCCAAAACAGUCAUACCUUCCAUAUUAGCCAAGGCACCAAAUCUAGACCCCGAUUUCCCUUUCUCCUUAGUAUCCGUUUUGAUUGGAAUAGUAUUCCGAGAAUUUCACUGAUUUUCCUUUCGACAGCCAUCGAUGGACCGUACGCCACCGAUUCGCCUCCUUCCCCCUUCUCCAUUGAUGUGUUGUUCCCUUGAAUCUUCUCUAAGCCAGAAAUCAGUUUCAUCGAAACACAUAGCUCCUUUGUAUGGCCAUACUCUCCGCAGGUGAAACAAAUGGUCGGUAAAGCUUCAUUUUCAACCUUCUGAUUUCUGCCAUUAACAAAAACUUGAGCAAUCAAAGGUUUGUCCAAAUUAAUAUAAACUGCCAUUCUAGCGAACCUGCCUCUAGUUCUGCUAUCAAUAUUAAAGUCCAGUCGAACUACCUUCCCAAUGGUACCUCCAAUUUCGUCAAUAAUUUUUCUCUUGUAUAAAAAAACAAGGAGACCUGGUAACCUUAUCCAUACCAAAACAAUGCUUGAGUAAGAUUGAGAGGGAUUAAAAUCUUUUGUCCAAGGUUGAACUGUCAAGUAUUGGCCAUAAAUCAUCCAAGGACCCUGGGACAGAGCUUUGGUAUAAUCAUCAAUAGAUUGAAAUUUUACCAGAUAAUAUCCAUUCUCAAUAUCCAUGAGAUGGAAUGGCUUGAUAGGGUUCCAAAGACUGCUAAUUAGGUUAUUAAGGACCCCAUAUCCAAUGUUUCUCCCAAGUAAUUUAAUCACUACCUUAAGUUCCAUUUCUUUGAAGAGGGUUUUUUGAAUCCUCUCAGAAAAAUCAAUGGCAGGAAUACCAUUGACAAUAGAUCUGCGAAUGUCUCCUUCAAAAAACUCUAAGUCAUCAUCAGUGUCGACAUUAGGAGAAUCCAUCUUUACUUUAUCAAUCGCUCCAGGAUUACCCCCCAGAAGUUUGUCAUUCCAAGAUAUCAUUAGCUCGAACCAGAGUCCACCACCAUAUCAGUAUCUUGCUCAUCAAUUCUUUCUUUGAAUCGAACUUUCUUGGUCAUAUGGUCGGCAUAUGACCGAGCCUCAUCUCCAUCACCUAUAACCAGAUGAGAAGAAAUGUUACCAGAGUUCAGAGAGACUUCUUCCAUAGCCUUUACUAGGAAUUUGUUUUAAACGAUCAAACUAUUUAUUUAAUUAUAAUUAUAAUUAUUUCAAUCAUUUCCUUUCAUUUUCAUAGUAUAACCAAACAAAAAUGGCUAAAUUCUGUUUCUUUUUCUUUCAUUUGCAUUAUUAAUUUUAAUAAUCCAAACUUAACCUUCUUUUCUUUUACUUUCAUUUUGUUUCUUUUCCUUCACAAUUAUUAAUUCAAAAGUGUAAAGUCAAUAUUGUAGGUUGAUUACUUAACAUGUUCAGUAUGAUCAUUAACAUUAUGUUUGAUUAAUCGAAGAAUUAAUUACCUUAAGCUCGUAAUUAAAGAUGUUAUUAUCGUAAACUAACAACUAAUAUAUAUACAUAUAUAUUUUUAUCAUUCUCAAUUUAUUUCUCUCGUCCACUGCACAUUUUCCCCAAUGGUUUAAUUUAUUUAUCCUACCCAAUGUGUAAAUUUCUCAUCGAAGUAACUCACCGUUGCAUCUGAUUUGUCAAUGAUGGGGCAAAAGCUAGGCUUGGUUUGCUUUGGCUAUGUUGAAAAUUAGCCUACCAUGCUGCUGUGAUAUUUUUGGUUAAAGUGCAUACAGCACAUGAAGCUACUGUAAUAUCUCCGGAUGAAGUAGCACAAAUGUUACAAGGCUGUUUAGCUGUAAUAUCUUCGGAUGAAAUAAGUGAUUUUUGAUUUUUUUUAUUUUUUUUAGGUGCUGAUAAUGUAAUCAGAUUUUGUGCAAGUUAACUUUUUAUAGUCCCAAUGCUGACUAGUUUAGGCGGCUUGUUUAUGUGUACAAGCAAUGUUUUUAAAGUUACUAGGCUGCUUCUGAUAGUAGGUAGAAAUAAGUGAUGUAGUUGGCUAUAAAUGUAAUGUUUUUCUUAUUGAAAAAUUAAGCAUAACGAAGCAUAUCAGAUUGCUUCCUUGCUGCACGUUUGUGAGCAAGUAAAUUUUUUCUUAAGCUUCCUUGCUGCACGUUUGUGAGCAAGUAAAUUUUUUUUUACUUUCUUGUUUUGUGUCCUAUAUUUCCUCCUUUGCUCAGUUUUCUUUUUUUUUUUGUUGCUGUCAAAAUCCCAACAUGGUAUCGAGAGCUUUUAUGAUCUUUGAGGGUCUUUGGAAUUUUUGCUUCUGCUGUUAGAAAGGCAAUGAGCCGUUAAAGCCUGUCACUUUUGUUUCUGCUUCUACUAUUUUUUAUGAAAGACAAGAAGCUGUUAAAGUCUGUCAUCUUUGAAGGCUGCUUGUAGAGAAGACAGCAACAGCUCAACCCUGUGAUACUCCCAAGCAAGUUUGAAUAAGCUGAAUGUGGAGUUUCAAGGAAAGUAUGUGAGCUCAGCAAAAAUGUGCAAGCUGCAAGCUCAGCGAGUAGUAAAGUUGCUAGCCUGUUGCAUAGUAAGCAAAGUGCGAGCCUGUCAAAGUGAGAGCCUGUCGAAUUGCAAGGCGAAGAGGAGGACGGUCUAAAUGCAAGCUCGAGAGGUGCAAGCCAAAAAUGGCAGACUGAAGGCAAGCAAACUAUACUUGUAAGCUGUUUAUGCAAGAAGAAGUAGGACUGUAAUUAGGACUGUAAUGAACAAGAGAACAAGGCAAGAUGUGUUGUCAACUAAGGCUGUGAAGGAGGAGAAGACUCCAUUUGCUAAGGUUGAAAAUGAAAUGCUUGUGCAGGGUUAGCUUGAAACAAAGCAUUUUGAGACUGCCAAGCUUAAAUUUUUUUGAAUGAUUUGUAUUUGCAGCAUGGAGUCCAAGGAGGAGUGUUGAAAAUUGGCCUACCAUGCUGUUGUGAUAUUUUUGGUUAAAGUGCAUGCAGCACAUGAAGCUGCUGUAAUAUCUUCGGAUGAAGUAGCACAAAUGUUACAAGGCUGUUUAGCUGCAAUAUCUCCGGAUGAAGUACGUUCUUGCAAUUGUGAAUAUUGCAGCACGUAUGUUUGCUGGUUGUUUAGUUACUUUGUUAAGUUACUUAGUUCAAAAUGAACUAAAUUAGUAUUGUUUUGAUAUAUUUUUAGGUGCUAAUAAUGUAAUCAGCUUUUAUGCAAGUUAAUUUUUUAUAGUCCCAAUGCUGACUAGUUUAGGUGGCUUGUUUAUGUGUACAAGCAAUGUUUUUAAAGUUUCUAGGCUGCUUCUAAUAGUAGGUAGAAAUAAGUGAUGUAGUUGGCUAUAAAUGUAAUAUUUUUCUUAUUGAAAAAUUAAGCAUAACGAAGCAUAUCAGAUUGCUUCCUUGCUACACGUUUGUGAUCAAAUAAAUUUUUUCUUACUUCCUUGUUUUGUGUCCUAUAUUUCUUCCUCUGCUCAGUUUUCUUUUUUUGUUGUUGUCAAAAUCCCAACAGGCUAGGCUAUGGUAGGAGGCUUGCUUACGGUGAUGAUUCCCAAAGCAAAAGCUAUGUCGAGGUAGUCUAGAUUGGCUUACGGAUAUUUGGUUUUGGAUCACAUUGGAUACUUGGUUAAAAAGGUAAAGUCUUUUUUUUUUUCUUUUGAAGGUAAAAGGGAAAAGUCUUAUCUUUUGGAUUUUUCGGGUAAAUUAUAAGAAUAGUCACUCAAUUAUGCAUUUGGUUUUAUUUUAGUUACCUAAUUGUUAAUUAUUUUUAUUCAAUCACUCAACUUUUUAAAAUUAAAUAUUUUAGUCACUCUCUCGUUAGUUGCAUAAACUAAUAAUGAAAGUCUAACGUAGGGUUUUUUACUUAUAAGUGUUAGGUGCAAUGAUAAAACAUAUUGCACUCUCAAUGGAAAAACAGGGUUCAAACUUUGAAGAUGAUAUUGUUGGGAGAGAAAACCACGAACCCCGAACAUGAACUGUAAAACAGACAUGAAAAAUAUAAAAAAAUGUAGGAUUUUUUUAUUGGUCUAAUAACAAAUUUAGCCCUCCAAUGACUAUAAAUCCUAUCAAUUUGAUUGUAAAUCUAAAAAAUUCAACAAAUUUAACUCUUAAUGUUUACAAAAAUUAUCAUUAUAGUUAUUUUUACACAUUCUAUCGGGAUAACUAUAUUUAUAUUUUUCAUUCUAUAAUUUGCAUUUGACCUAAUUCUCUCUUCCUUUAAUCUUAAUCUUAAGGUACUUGGAUUAGCUUUCUUUCAAAUUUGGGGUUUCCUAAUAUUUGUGUAUUCAUGGGACGCUUGAUUUCUAAUUGAUAAAAGUUAUACAACUAGUUGUCUUGGGGAGUUUCUUUCUUCCAUUGUAAAUUUUAACUGAGAUCUAAUACUUAUAAAUUUUAGGAAAAGGAAUAGUGAAAUUGGAGUAAAUUUUCAUCUGGCUUCAUCUUAAGUUUAUGAUUUUUUACGUUUUGGAUUCCAAGAUUUUGGAGGAUUGAUUAUUUUAGUAGGGAAACCUAACAAGCGAGUUGAUAGUAAACUCAUCUUUGUUUGAAGGAAAAUUUUAGGGUUAUUUUAUUAUUUUAUUAUUUUAUUUUUUUUAUUUUUAAAUAUAUUUUUAUCAAAAAUAAUUUUUUAAAAUAUAUUCUUUUUAGAAUUUUUAGAAUUAAAACUAAACUUUUUUUAAUUGCAGGAUAAAAGAUUUAUAUAUAUAUAGCAUAAAAAUAUUUUUAAAAAUUACGAAUUUAAAAUUAGUUACAAAUUAAUUACCAAAAUAAUAUAUUUUCUAUAUUAAUAUUUAAUAUUUGUAUAAUUAUUACGGGUCUUUUUAUUUGUGUUGCACAAUUCAUAUGCGGCACUGUAAUUUAUUGUAUAAAACAUGGGAUUUUGAUAAUUAAUUUGUAACCCAUGUUAUUUUUGUAAUUUAUUAUUAUUAUUAUUAUUUAUAUUAAAAAAUCAAGUAUUAAAAUUGUUGAAUUUUUUAGAUAUAGGAUAAAAUUUAUAGAAUAUGAAAGCAUGGGAGGCUAAUUUUAUUAUUAGACCAAUAAAAAACAUAUGUUAAACUUUUGUUAUUGAGUUAACAAUAACUAAUAGGAGAGUGAACGAAAAUAUUAUAUAUUAAAAAAUAUAUAUUUAUAAAAUUAUGGAUGAACUAUUCAAUUGGUUAUCCAACUUUUAAGGCGCUUUCAUUUUGAUUAUACAAAAAAAAAAUAUCCUCACAAUUUUAUCACCUAACUUUUAGAGCAUUUUCAUUUUAGUCAAUCAAGCGUUAAAUCUUUAACAGUGGUUGAUUGUAUAGGUCACAUCAUGUUUUUACGUUUAUUUUGGCCACUCAACUUCUAAGUCGCUUCCGUUUGGUCACAAAAAAAAAUCCUUUUUUAAUUAUUGAUCAAGGUACAAAAUAUUAAUUUGUGAAAAAAGCGAUACAAACUAAAAUAAUGCAUUAAAAAUUUAUCAUAUUAUACUUGCUUACCCCCUUGCGAAAGUUCUAAAUUUCUUUUAGUAUUGAAAUUUUAAAUGUCAAAAUAUCAAAACCAAUUAAAUAAAUUGUUGGAAAUUUUGUAUCCUUUGAUUGUGUCAGACAAUUUGUUACUAUAAUAUUAGUAUUAAUUAAUUUAAUCUCUGUGACAUCUUUAAUGUACAAUCAACUUGAUAUAAUAACAGGUCGGGUUAGGAAUAUUAGAGAAUUAAAAAAGAAGAAGAAAGAUCUAAUAGGAAUUUUAGAGCAAUAGAAUAGAAAAUAGUUAGAGCAAGAAGAAAAUUAGAAAUAUUUUCGAGAUGAGAAAAAUUAAUUCGAGGUAAUCACUUAAUUGUAAGAGAAUGGAAAAUGAUGGGGCAAAAGUACGAAAAUCAAAGGCUUGAGAUAAUUACAUUGAAUUUGAGGGAAAAGGAGGAAGGACUAGAAGUGAAAUUUUACCAAAAUAAAGCAUGAAUCAUGCAUAGUAUUGUAGAGAAAGUUGAAGAGUUAAAUAGUAAUUACUUAAAUUAUAUAACUAUGAAGAAGCUUAAUGAUUAAGGAUAAAAUUAUGUGGAAUAGUGAUUGGUGGACUACAUUGCAAAUCAUUAUUUCGAUUAUUUAAUUAAGAGCUAUUUUAGUAUAAUUAUGUAGAAAAGAUGAGAAGAACCCUUCAUCUUUCAUAUAUGCUUCACGUCAUUCACCAAAACCAUCCAACCCAACUUUGUCUUUUAUAACAAUUAGGUCCUUCCACCAUUUUUAAGCUUUUCUAAGCUCAAUUUCUUUCAUGUUUCCUUAGCAAAAUAAAUAAAGGAACCUAGUAGUCAUCUUAGUUUCAUGAAAAGAGAGGCAAUAUUUGUAUUGGAAGUGAGAAAAAAUAAGGACUAGAUUGUGAUUUCAAGAGAUUAAGGUAAGGGAUGAUAAGUUCUUCAUGAAUUCCUGGUAGUUUCAUUAGUUAAGCACAAAUAUGUUAUUUAAUUAUGAUUUUAACAAUAUUAAAAUGAAAAAAAAAAGAAAAGAAAAGAAAAGGAAUGAGAAGAUCAAAUUGAAGACAAAGGAAAAGGAGCAGCCAAAGAGUAAAAAGAGAAGAAAAUACUCCAUUCAAGUCUUGGUUGUAAGCACUUCAAGGAUUUUAUCUCAUUUCUUUUAGAUUUAAACUAUAAAGUAUGUUAUUUAGUUAAUUAGUUAUAAAUAUGUUGUUAUAAUAGAAAAUGACUAACUUUAAAGAAAAUAGAACAUAUUACAAGGACAUUAAUAAGGACAAAAAGAAAAAUAGAUGUGACCUACGUUAAAGUAUAUAUAUUGUGAAUGUAAAAUGUGCAGUAAAAUCAUAUAUUCUUUGAAAUUUAUGACUUCAAGGACUAAAUUAUAAGUUGUGAAAAGUUGAAUUGAUUUUGUUAAAGCUUAUGUAGACAAGAUAAGAACUACUAGGAUAUUAAUGGCAUGCCAUUAUGGAAAUUUGGCGCACUCUUUGUUCUAUUUAAGAAAUCUGGUGCUUUUCUAUUCUGAUAAGCACUACAGUGUUUUUCUGUUCUGAUAAGCACAUUGGUGUUGUUCUGUUCCGUUAACACACUCGGUGCCCUUUGUAUCUGUUCCAAAUAUCCUAAGUGCUCUAUUUAGUCUACAAUGGGCUAAGAAAGACAAACGAGACAUCUGGUAAGUGUGGUUAACAAUGAAUGGGGUAAGUGGUUUAAAAGCUAUAAGUUGAUAAAAAUUAUUUAUUUGGAUUAAUAUGAAGAAUGAAGUAAACUUAUUCAUGUGCUUGUAAUUAAUAUUACUAUAUUUUAGAAAUAAUAUUUAAAUUCUUGUAGUACUUACUAAGCCGUCACAAAGCUAACGCGUUUCUUGCCAACGUGUAGGUAAAAGCUUGUUUUGACGAACUAGGACAGUGAUUGAUGGCAUCAUAUCUUCUAGCUUGAAAGAGAGUAGGGCUUAAUAUUUUGGUUUUAGAUAUAGCAUGUACAUAGAUAUAGUCGAUUCAAAUGAAAUGUAUUAUUGGACCUAGUUGUAAAUUAUGAAUACUUGUGUUAAUAUUAUGAACUUUGUUAUAAUUAGAAGAUAUCACGAUGAGUUAUUUGAUUA
This 7508-nucleotide long non-coding RNA is filed under the name Gossypium barbadense (sea-island cotton). Its description in RNAcentral is "long non-coding RNA (GBAR_LNC006120)". Lineage: Eukaryota; Viridiplantae; Streptophyta; Magnoliopsida; Malvales; Malvaceae. The record is from RNAcentral.